AGCGCUCCAGGAACAGCUUGGAGAGCCCUGGGCUAUAGUAACAGAGUAAGCUGGCAGAAACUCGGAGGAAAAAAACGUGUCGGUACAUAAAUUGCAACAUGGAUAUAGAUAUUAUUCAUGACACCAGCUGGAAGGCAGUUUUUUUUUCUCAGUGCGCCAUUGAUGUGAAUGCAGCAAUAUAAUGAAGCCUCAACUCGUCAGGGCACGGACUUUACAAGGUGUCGAAAGCAUUCCACAGGGAUCCUGGCCCAUGUUGACUCCAAUGCUUCCACACUUGUGUCAAGUUGGCUGGAUGUCCUUUGGUGGCUGUACAAUAUGGAAUGUGGGAUGAGGGAUGAAGUGCAAAGGAUCAGUCUCUUCUCACAUAUGACAGACCUCUCCACACAUAAGAAUACCAUCCCACAUCCUCCCUUUCCUACACACGAUCAAGAUCCAAUGUUGAAUUUCAAAUAAUGCAUUUGUAUUGCCUGUAUUUCAGAACAUACUACAUCACAUCAGAGAUUUUUCCACAAUGUACAAGAAUAUAUGCAGUACCAGUCAAGUUUGCACACACCCACUCAUUUAAAUGGUUUUCCAAAUGCUUUCUCUUCACUUUCCUCCAUGUAG
RNAcentral lists this long non-coding RNA (606 nucleotides) under Salmo salar (Atlantic salmon). RNAcentral describes it as "lncRNA (ENSSSAG00000110938.1)". The record is from RNAcentral. Lineage: Eukaryota; Metazoa; Chordata; Actinopteri; Salmoniformes; Salmonidae.